This 50-nucleotide transfer RNA is filed under the name Scapania koponenii. RNAcentral describes it as "partial tRNA-Phe". It matches the Rfam family "tRNA", at positions 1 to 49 of the family's 71-position model. Rfam says of the family: Transfer RNA (tRNA) molecules are approximately 80 nucleotides in length. Their secondary structure includes four short double-helical elements and three loops (D, anti-codon, and T loops). Further hydrogen bonds mediate the characteristic L-shaped molecular structure. tRNAs have two regions of fundamental functional importance: the anti-codon, which is responsible for specific mRNA codon recognition, and the 3' end, to which the tRNAs corresponding amino acid is attached (by aminoacyl-tRNA synthetases). tRNAs cope with the degeneracy of the genetic code in two manners: having more than one tRNA (with a specific anti-codon) for a particular amino acid; and 'wobble' base-pairing, i.e. permitting non-standard base-pairing at the 3rd anti-codon position. Lineage: Eukaryota; Viridiplantae; Streptophyta; Jungermanniopsida; Jungermanniales; Scapaniaceae. The record is from RNAcentral.
GCCGGGAUAGCUCAGUUGGUAGAGCAGAGGACUGAAAAUCCUCGUGUCCA